This 275-nucleotide long non-coding RNA is filed under the name Elaeis guineensis (African oil palm). RNAcentral's name for it is "long non-coding RNA (EGUI_LNC063256)". The record is from RNAcentral. Lineage: Eukaryota; Viridiplantae; Streptophyta; Magnoliopsida; Arecales; Arecaceae.
CUAAACAGUAGCUUGUCCUCUACUCAUAAUGUGAGAGGCAGCAUGUGCUCUAUUAAUCUUGUGAGUGACAGCUUGUGCUCUGCUCGUAAUGCGAAGGGCAGUAUGUGCUUUGCUCAUUUUAUGAGCGACAGCUUGUGCUUUGCUCGUAAUGCGAGAGGCAGUAUGUGCUCUGCUCAUCUUGUGAGCAGCAGCUUGUGCUCUGCUUGUAACAUGAGAGAUAGUAUGUGCUCUGCUCAUCUUGUGAGUGGCUGCUUGUGCUCUGUUCAUAAUGUGAG